Molecule: long non-coding RNA, 851 nt
Organism: Daucus carota subsp. sativus
Lineage: Eukaryota; Viridiplantae; Streptophyta; Magnoliopsida; Apiales; Apiaceae
Exons: 2
Source: RefSeq, a predicted model, not a curated record
UGAUAAUACAAUGUUUUAUCAUGAUUAUUACUAUUAUUAAAGCCUUGUACUUCAAUGCGUACCAAAAACCCCACUGCCCCCUGUUUUGUUCCCCCCAAACCAUCCUUUUUAGUUUUUACUUGCUUUUAAAUACCAAAAAGAUGCAAUUUUCACGUGCAAGAGUCCAAAUAAAAAGUUGCAUAUACCUCCUGGAUUUCAUGAGCUACGGCAAGCCUAGCAUUGCUGAAACGGUUAAAGUCUCGUGUUUGUAGCAACGUUUUUGAUAAAGGGGUUUUUCUGAUAAACAUUUUCUGGUAUUGGGAUAAAUCAUGAUGGUUGGUUCAUGUUUUUGUUGCUUAUUACAAUCAUGAGCUAUAAUAAACUCUUCUCUUCCAUACAUAUCUACGUGGUUGGUGUGCCUAUAUAUAGAGACAAUCACAUGCAUUCCUAGACAUCUCAACUCAAAACAACACACAGAUAAUCAGUAAUAUCGACAAAGGCAAAAGCAAGCACCCAGCAUGGACAAGAACAACUCAGAACUGUACUUAAAGAACUGCAAAAUCUUUCAGGAGAAUGAGAGGCUUAGGAAGCAAGCUGCGGAGCUGAAACAGGAGAACAAGGCUCUGCUUACCGAGUUGACGCAUAGAAUUGUUGCUUCCAUCUCCGCUGCAAACAAAACUACUGCUGAUUGCAACUCGAAGAAAACAGACCCAAAGAAGUGAAGCAAGCAUCAACCUUAUGGCAUCUAGACUUUUAAUGAACCAGUUUUGUUAUAAGUCUUUGUGCCAAUUUAUCUUUUAUCGUUGUUAUCAGAUUGCAGAUUACUGUUUUAAUGUCAGAAAGAAAUAAAUGAUAUGUUCAUCCAGUGGGUU